Molecule: ribosomal RNA, 520 nt
Filed under: uncultured bacterium
Lineage: Bacteria
Description: partial 16S ribosomal RNA
Rfam family: Bacterial small subunit ribosomal RNA
Source: RNAcentral
GACGAACGCUGGCGGCGUGCCUAAUACAUGCAAGUCGAACGCACUCUCGUUUAGAUUGAAGGAGUUUGCUCCUGAUUGAUAAACAUUUGAGUGAGUGGCGGACGGGUGAGUAACACGUGGGUAACCUGCCCUAAAGUGGGGGAUAACAUUUGGAAACAGAUGCUAAUACCGCAUAAAACCUAACACCGCAUGGUGUAGGGUUGAAAGAUGGUUUCGGCUAUCACUUUAGGAUGGACCCGCGGUGCAUUAGUUAGUUGGUGGGGUAAAGGCUCACCAAGACCGGGAUGGAUAGCCGACCUGAGAGGGUGAUCGGCCACACUGGGACUGAGACACGGCCCAGACGCCUAAGGGAGGCAGCAGUAGGGAAUCUUCCACAAUGGACGAAAGUCUGAUGGAGCAACGCCGCGUGAGUGAAGAAGGUUUUCGGAUCGUAAAACUCUGUUGUUGGAGAAGAAUGUAUCUGAUAGUAACUGAUCAGGUAGUGACGGUAUCCAACCAGAAAGCCACGGCUAACUACGUG